GACGAACGCUGGCGGCGUGCUUAACACAUGCAAGUCGAGCGAUGAAGCUCCUUCGGGAGUGGAUUAGCGGCGGACGGGUGAGUAACACGUGGGUAACCUGCCUCAUAGAGGGGAAUAGCCUUUCGAAAGGAAGAUUAAUACCGCAUAAGAUUGUAGUUUCGCAUGAAACAGCAAUUAAAGGAGUAAUCCGCUAUGAGAUGGACCCGCGUCGCAUUAGCUAGUUGGUGAGGUAACGGCUCACCAAGGCGACGAUGCGUAGCCGACCUGAGAGGGUGAUCGGCCACAUUGGGACUGAGACACGGCCCAGACUCCUACGGGAGGCAGCAGUGGGGAAUAUUGCACAAUGGGGGAAACCCUGAUGCAGCAACGCCGCGUGAGUGAUGACGGUCUUCGGAUUGUAAAACUCUGUCUUCAGGGACGAUAAUGACGGUACCUGAGGAGGAAGCCACGGCUAACUACGUGCCAGCAGCCGCCGCCG
Molecule: ribosomal RNA, 478 nt
Filed under: uncultured bacterium
Lineage: Bacteria
Description: partial 16S ribosomal RNA
Rfam family: Bacterial small subunit ribosomal RNA
Source: RNAcentral